GACGAACGCUGGCGGCGUGCCUAAUACAUGCAAGUUGAGCGCUGAAGGUUGGUACUUGUACCAACUGGAUGAGCAGCGAACGGGUGAGUAACGCGUGGGGAAUCUGCCUUUGAGCGGGGGACAACAUUUGGAAACGAAUGCUAAUACCGCAUAAAAACUUUAAACACAAGUUUUAAGUUUGAAAGAUGCAAUUGCAUCACUCAAAGAUGAUCCCGCGUUGUAUUAGCUAGUUGGUGAGGUAAAGGCUCACCAAGGCGAUGAUACAUAGCCGACCUGAGAGGGUGAUCGGCCACAUCGGGACUGAGACACGGCCCAAACUCCUACGGGAGGCAGCAGUAGGGAAUCUUCGGCAAUGGACGAAAGUCUGACCGAGCAACGCCGCGUGAGUGAAGAAGGUUUUCGGAUCGUAAAACUCUGUUGGUAGAGAAGAACGUGGGUGAGAGUGGAAAGCUCAUCAAGUGACGGUAACUACCCAGAAAGGGACGGCUAACUACGU
Molecule: ribosomal RNA, 496 nt
Filed under: uncultured bacterium
Lineage: Bacteria
Description: partial 16S ribosomal RNA
Rfam family: Bacterial small subunit ribosomal RNA
Source: RNAcentral